Non-coding RNA from Dermacentor albipictus, 265 nucleotides. The record is from RefSeq and is a predicted model, not a curated record. Lineage: Eukaryota; Metazoa; Arthropoda; Arachnida; Ixodida; Ixodidae.
AGGCAACCUACGAGUGCGUAACGACAGAAGUGGUGUUGUUCUUCACAGUCUGUGGGUGCUUUCUCUUGUCAGGAUGCCAGUACGCACCGGUGGUCACAAAGAAGAAGACUCAGAUCAAGAAUGCGAGGAACGAAGAGACACAUUCUAUAUUUGAGAGGCUAGUGUGCACCGCAGUAGCAAGGCACGUGUGGAAUGUCAUGCGGCACAGUGAAAUAAUACCCGCUGACUUGCCGAUCCUUGGCAGAGUGAGCCGCUGCCGCGUCUU